CCGAAAUAUACCUAAGCUCGUUCAUAAAUCACACGAAGAACAUACAGUUGCAAAAGCCGAUCAAGUCGAUUAUUGUCUAAGAAAUUCUAUCAGCUCAACAAUAUCCAAUCAAGUUGAAACUUGUAGGUUUUGUUUGCUAAACACUAAAAGAGGUAUACAAAAGUCGACAAGUCCAAACGUGAAAUCCAUUCUGUUGAAAUUUUUUGAACUUUUGCACCAGUGUAAAAUAAAAAACUUCUAAAGAUGAAAUCUAUUAUUUUCCUAAUAUCGUUUUCAAAUGUUAUUGUAUCAUUUGUUGAUGGAGGUAACUCUCUCCCAGCUUCGAACACAUUGGAAGGAUGUGAGGUCAUAGUUGAUGAAAGAAAUAAUAAUAGUAA
Molecule: long non-coding RNA, 377 nt
Organism: Adelges cooleyi (spruce gall adelgid)
Lineage: Eukaryota; Metazoa; Arthropoda; Insecta; Hemiptera; Adelgidae
Exons: 3
Source: RefSeq, a predicted model, not a curated record